GUCCACGCCGUAAACGUUGCAGACUAGGUAUUCGGAGUAUCGACCCUCUGUGUACCGAAGCUAACGCGAGAAGUCUGCCGCCUGGGAAGUACGGCCGCAAGGCUAAAACUCAAAUGAAUUGACGGGGGCUCGCACAAGCGGUGGAGCAUGUGGUUUAAUUCGACACUAACCGAGGAACCUUACCCAGACUUGACAUCUCCGGAACCCUGCAGAAAUGCGGGGGUGCCUUCGGGAGCCGGAUGACAGGUGAUGCACGGUCGUCGU
RNAcentral lists this ribosomal RNA (264 nucleotides) under uncultured bacterium. RNAcentral describes it as "partial 16S ribosomal RNA". It matches the Rfam family "Bacterial small subunit ribosomal RNA", at positions 793 to 1055 of the family's 1533-position model. The record is from RNAcentral.